AUGAUUAAUAACAUGGGGAAUGGAUUUGGAUCUGGCAAUGGAUUGAUCCCAGAGCAGGAGGCCAGAUGCCCUAGAGAGGAAGUUACUACUGGAAGCUCUUCACCCAGAUCUAGGAAUUACCUAUGGGUUGUGAUACCGUCAAGUAAUGCCCUUGAGAAAGUGUCUUCCUCACUUCCUGAUAUCAACUCAGCUCUGGAAGCUCUCCAUGAGCAAGGCCUGAAAGCGAGCGUGGAGGGAGGCGACCGUGGGGCUGAUGGUGGUGUUGGAUGUGACUCACCACCUCGCUGCCCUCCCAGGCGCCCCCCGUGCUACUGCAAGUUCCACGGAUGGCCAGAAGGCAGCCUCCCAGCUCCCUUGGAAGGAAGGCAGAGAGAAAGCGUCAUCGGCUUCUCGGAGUUUGGCUUCGCGGGACUUCAACCCAACUCUGCUUGUCCAAGGAAGCAAAGAGCAGACAAGGCUCAUCUAGACCCCUCAAGAGAGAGCUAA
RNAcentral lists this long non-coding RNA (486 nucleotides) under Oryctolagus cuniculus (rabbit). RNAcentral describes it as "lncRNA (ENSOCUG00000038023.1)". Lineage: Eukaryota; Metazoa; Chordata; Mammalia; Lagomorpha; Leporidae. The record is from RNAcentral.